Daphnia carinata is the source of this 1114-nucleotide long non-coding RNA. RefSeq lists it as uncharacterized. NCBI's taxonomy places the organism in Eukaryota, Metazoa, Arthropoda, Branchiopoda, Diplostraca, Daphniidae. The record is from RefSeq and is a predicted model, not a curated record. The transcript has 3 exons.
CUUCAUUAGAAGCAAUCUGAAAGCUCAGCAUGGUCGGGAUGCCGUGCCUGCUAAGUGCUACCGGAGCGUUAGGAGGAGGCACAGACAUAUGUUUUCCCCUCUGAAUCAAUCACUUUCACACCCCAGGUUGGCUUUGUGUUUUGUUUACUGAAUCUCAUCUGUAAACGCCUUCUCCUUUGAUCAUACUGCCAUAUAUACAGCCCAGUCAUGUACGCCAUUUAAUAUCGUACGCGAUUACAUAAAGGUCACAUGGUUGGUCGUUCUAGUUUUCGUAAAUAAUAAUAUUAGUUUGUAUGGGUAUACAAAACGCUGUAAAUUUAUUUAGCAGACGUUCUUUGAUAGCUGUUUACCCCAGUUAUGGCUCUGCGUACCAAUUUGGAAGUAGUUCACGUUUUGUGUGUAACCUACUUUUUUCUUCAUCUACAGCCAAUAUGGGUUCCGAAUCUCACAAAGAAGCCAGCCAACUUUAAACAGAGAAAUUUCUGAGUAUACAACUUCCCACUUUCGCAUCCGACAUUCUGCAGGAUUCAGCACUAUUCCUAUAAAAUAAAAAGAUUUCGCCUCGGGCCUCCAUGUAGCGUUAGGAUGUUAUCACCAUAAGGCGUCGUACAGUGAGCAGGGAUUUUGGUCGUGAGAGCAGCCAGUAAUUCUUCUUCGUAAAAAGUUGAAGGCUUGUCACCUGCAUGAAAGCUAUUGCCGUGUUAUGGUGAAAAGAGUAAGUCCCCAAAACGACGCACCUCUUUUGAUGUGACAUACAUUUCACUGCAUAGCUUCCAAAUCGGGUCACGUUUUCCACCAAAUUUUGGUAGAGUACACUGGAGCUUAAGAAAACGAACUAUUUUCAAGCCCAUGGAGCAAAACUCCGUUAUUGCUUACAAGAUGCAAACCAAGUGCCCUCUCAAGAAUAUCGAAUUCUUUGAAUUAAAGAACAUUUGGAAGUUCGAGUUUUUCGAUUUCUUUAAGCUCACUCGUUAAGAAAAAAAAAUAGAACUUAAAAUCUUCCCAGCGAUAAGAAAUAGGUAAAAAGUACAAUCAUCCAGAAAGAAAGGGGACGAGUAAGAAAUCCACUGAAGUGUGGCACAUAUGACGACUUGGAUUCCUUACAAAGGAAAAG